GGGAGGUAGUGACAAUAAAUAACAAUACGGGGUUCUUUAGGAUCUCGUAAUUGGAAUGAGUACAAUUUAAAUCUCUUAACGAGGAACAAUUGGAGGGCAAGUCUGGUGCCAGCAGCCGCGGUAAUUCCAGCUCCAAUAGCGUAUAUUAAAGUUGUUGCAGUUAAAAAGCUCGUAGUUGAAUUUCGGGGUUAGUAGGCUGGUCAUGCCUCUGGUAUGUACUGGUCUUACUGACUUCUCCUUUCUGAAGAACUGUAAUGCCAUUAAUUUGGUGUUGCAGGGAAUCAGGACUGUUACUUUGAAAAAAUUAGAGUGUUUAAAGCAGGCUAACGCUUGAAUACAUUAGCAUGGAAUAAUGAAAUAGGACGUUCGAUCCUAUUUUGUUGGUUUCUAGGAUUGACGUAAUGAUUAAUAGGGAUAGUUGGG
RNAcentral lists this ribosomal RNA (423 nucleotides) under uncultured Glomeraceae. RNAcentral describes it as "SSU rRNA". It matches the Rfam family "Eukaryotic small subunit ribosomal RNA", at positions 459 to 886 of the family's 1831-position model. Lineage: Eukaryota; Fungi; Glomeromycota; Glomeromycetes; Glomerales; Glomeraceae. The record is from RNAcentral.